GUCCCAUGUGGCUCAGGUGGUAGAGCAUGGUGCUUACAUCGCCAGGGUUGUGGGUUUGAUUCCCAUGAGGGACU
Salvelinus namaycush (lake trout) is the source of this 74-nucleotide non-coding RNA. NCBI's taxonomy places the organism in Eukaryota, Metazoa, Chordata, Actinopteri, Salmoniformes, Salmonidae. The record is from the annotation of a RefSeq genome assembly.